UUCGGGAUUUCUUGAGAUUUGACUGACUUAGUUAUGUCCUUUUUAUCUGUAGGGCUGCGUGGGAAUGCCUCUGCUUUUUCAUUACAGGGGAAAAAAGUCUGGCUCGGGGCAUUUGGCCAGGUAAAAAAAAAGUGUCUUUAUUGGCAAAAUCGAGAAUAGGAGAUUCAUUUCUGAGAGGGAAGGAAGAUUCAUAGCGGCGAACUGAAGAUAAAAAUGUCUUUUGAUGGAACCCGAUGGCUUAGGUGGCGUGAUCUUCGGAGGCAUUUGGGAACUGAAGAUUCGUUGAUGGAGCCCAGACGGAGAGAGCCAAGCUCGAGAACGAGAGAAUGGUGCUUCUCAUGCCCCAGAAGGAGCUCCAAUUUGCUCCCUCUUCAACAGCAGCAGCAGCAUUCAUCCAACAAAAGGAGCGGCGGCAGCGAUGAGGGUUGAAAGGCGAAGGAUUCUGAAAGAAACUAAAAGCAAAAACUCCGGCUCACGCAAAGCCUUCGCCCCCAAUUCAAAAAUUGUUUCGAUUGUGUCUUUCGUUCGACCUCCGUGAUCGGGACGACGUACGGUGGCGCCGGCAGCGUGCGACCGGACGGCGGCUCUGCAACCCAGAAGAAAGCUCCGACCACCAACCGAACCGUGGCUGAUUCGAAGGUGGAGACGCUGUGUGACUUGCUCGAUGGAGGAUUGAUAGCUUUGGACCCUAUUCUUACAAAAAAAUUCGAGUCUUUCGAAAUGGGCAUUGGGAAUUAGUCGGUACUCCAUCGAUCAGUUAAAUUUUGCUCUCUUUAUGCUUGUUUUUUUGGGAUACACUUAUUGGUGGAGAGGAAUCACAACAUGUGUGUCCGCUUGCCAUGAGUUAUGGAAAAGAACAACUACCUCUCGCUCAAUUCGUAGUGCAUGCUGGC
RNAcentral lists this long non-coding RNA (893 nucleotides) under Eucalyptus grandis. RNAcentral's name for it is "long non-coding RNA (EGRA_LNC001290)". The record is from RNAcentral. Lineage: Eukaryota; Viridiplantae; Streptophyta; Magnoliopsida; Myrtales; Myrtaceae.